RNAcentral lists this ribosomal RNA (567 nucleotides) under uncultured bacterium. Its description in RNAcentral is "bacterial SSU rRNA". It matches the Rfam family "Bacterial small subunit ribosomal RNA", at positions 338 to 916 of the family's 1533-position model. The record is from RNAcentral.
CCUACGGGAGGCAGCAGUAGGGAAUUUUCCGCAAUGGGCGAAAGCCUGACGGAGCAAUACCGCGUGAGGGAAGAAUGCCUACGGGUUGCAAACCUCUUUUUUCAGGGAGGAACAUAAUGACGUGUACCUGAAGAAUAAGCAUCGGCUAACUCCGUGCCAGCAGCCGCGGUAAGACGGAGGAUGCAAGUGUUAUCCGGAAUCACUGGGCGUAAAGCGUCUGUAGGUGGUUUAAUAAGUCAACUGUUAAAUCUUGAGGCUCAACCUCAAAAUCGCAGUCGAAACUAUUAGACUAGAGUAUAGUAGGGGUAAAGGGAAUUUCCAGUGGAGCGGUGAAAUGCGUAGAGAUUGGAAAGAACACCGAUGGCGAAAGCACUUUACUAGGCUAUUACUGACACUCAGAGACGAAAGCUAGGGUAGCAAAUGGGAUUAGAUACCCCAGUAGUCCUAGCUGUAAACUAUAGGAUACUAGAUGUUGAACUAGAUCGACCUGUGCAGUAUCAAAGCUAACGCGUUAAGUAUCCCGCCUGGGAAGUAUGCUCGCAAGGUGAAACUCAAAUGAAUUGACGG